UGAUCAGCCACACUGGAACUGAGACACGGUCCAGACUCCUACGGGAGGCAGCAGUGGGGAAUAUUGGACAAUGGGCGAAAGCCUGAUCCAGCAAUGCCGCGUGGGUGAAGACGGCCUGCGGGUUGUAAAGCCCUUUAGGCGGGGAGGAACGACGGGACGUGAAUAGCGUUUCGGAGUGACGUUACCCGCGGAAUAAGCACCGGCUAACUCCGUGCCAGCAGCCGCGGUAAUACGGAGGGUGCGAGCGUUAAUCGGAAUUACUGGGCGUAAAGCGUGCGUAGGCGGAUGGGUCAGUCAGCCGUGAAAGCCCCGGGCUUAACCUGGGAACGGCGGUUGAGACGGCCCGUCUUGAGUGGGCUAGAGGAUCGUGGAACUCCCGGUGUAGCGGUGAAAUGCGUAGAUAUUAGGAAGAACACCAGUGGCGAAGGCGGCUCACUGGUCCGGUACUGACGCUGAGGUGCGAAAGCGUGGGGAGCAAACAGGAUUAGAUACCCUGGUAGUCCACGCCGUAAACUAUGGAUGCUAGCCGUCGGCAAGCUUGCUUGUCGGUGGCGCAGCUAACGCAUUAAGCAUCCCGCCUGGGGAGUACGGCCGCAAGGUUAAAACUCAAGGAAUUGACGGGACCCGCACAGCGGUGGAUGAUGUGGUUUAAUUCGAUGCAACGCGAAAACCUUACCUACAC
RNAcentral lists this ribosomal RNA (682 nucleotides) under uncultured bacterium. Its description in RNAcentral is "bacterial SSU rRNA". It matches the Rfam family "Bacterial small subunit ribosomal RNA", at positions 301 to 980 of the family's 1533-position model. The record is from RNAcentral.